Ictalurus punctatus (channel catfish) is the source of this 1939-nucleotide long non-coding RNA. Lineage: Eukaryota; Metazoa; Chordata; Actinopteri; Siluriformes; Ictaluridae. The record is from Ensembl.
GUAUGGUUGGGUGUGAUUAUUGAAAUUGUGUACUGGUUAUCCAGCCGUUCAAGCAGUGUGUAGUUUAUGAUGGUUUAAAGCGUGUUAGAUUGAGGAAUACUGUUUUGGAGGAACACGUUGUUUAAAGGCUGGAGCUGUUCGCCACGUGGCGCUUACUGCCUUGUUUGGCACCAAUGUGUCUUGCUGGCUUCACGUGAAGGAUAAUGCAGGCCAAGAGCCUCACUUCCGGCUCUUGGUCACGUGGUUAUUACCAGCGUAGGAGGUGGGACUCGCGCCCUUUUUCUGCAGAAGACCUGAGCCCCAUUCACUCCAAUGGAAAAUUGUAUGAUCAGCCAACAGCAGAAAGGUGAAUUAGAUGACAUGAAGAUGCACAUCCACUUGUGUACAUGAAGUGUAAUCCUUUCUUACAUUAAGUGAGUGAGGCCUGCACCAUCAUGGUAUUUGGGAACAUCAUGAACCUGCAGCUCCGCUGACAUCCAGAUGGUUCCAGGACUUGGUUUUCUUUCUAAGGAUGCAAAACUGAUCCUGAGGCCCAGUGGGUGGGUGUUCCAACACUUUUUUGGGUGUGUCCCCCCGUCCCCCCUAAGGUUGUAAAACUGAGAUCAUGGCAUGAAGCAUCUUUGAAUGGGCUCAAGGGGAGGUGCCCAAGGGCUAUCAUGGAUUGCUAUAACAUUCAAGCUGAGGUGUUGAUUGGUGGUCAAGUUGCAGUCAGAUUAAUGGGAGGGAUAGCAGUGUGACCAUUGGUGGAUUUAAGGUGGCCACCCUGCUUGACCCCCGGGGGUGUGAAGGUGUUCCAGGAAUGUUACACUGCAUGUGUGCACACACAGGCCUUGUUUUUCUGACUGAAGUCGUAAAUGAGGCUGUUAAAAUCCAAUUUGCUGGCAUGCCAUCACCAGUUGGAAACAGUGUAGUUUCCUUAUAAACUGCAGCAGUGACCAUGCCGUUUUCUCAUUUUCUCAAAGUUCUCCAAAUUGUCUCAAUUUUGUCCAUUUAAAAUCUUCCUCCAGCUGCAUAUAUCUUAUGGAGUUUAGCUGUGCCCGGAUGAAGAUCUAGUCUGGGGAAGGAUGGAACAUCAUUCAAAAAUGCAAACACCUGUGGAAGUGAUGCAGUUGUUUCAACUGUGGCUACUGUAGCUGUAGCCGCAGUUGUUUCAACUGUGGCUACUGUAGCUGUAGCCGCAGUUGUUUCAACUGUGGCUACUGUAGCUGUAGCCGCAGUUGUUUCAACUGUGGCUACUGUAGCUGUAGCCGAUGCAGUUGUUUCAACUGUGGCUACUGUAGCUGUAGGCAUGAUUGAUUAGAUCAGGGGUUCCCAAAUUUUUCCAGUGCAAGGCCCCCUUCAGUCAAAUGUUAAUGGCAUUAACAUUUGACUGAGGCCCUCCUUUUGCAAGAUGUCUUUAAAACACAUUAAAAAUACAGAUUUUUGGAAUAUUAAUUUAAAAAAGGGGAUAUAAUCAUCUCACAUCAUUUACAUUAGGGGUGGGUGGUUGUCUUGAGUGAGAAUUUAUCUUUCACACCAAAUUGGUGAGGACCCCUGGUUUGAAAACCACUGGAUUAGAUUCAGUAGCCUGGUGAUAUCCAGUCAAGUUAGGGGUUUUCAUUUUUGUACAUAUCCAUGCCCAUAUAUUGACUUUAUAUGAUGAGUACAUUUAUGAUGGGUGUAUAUCUUAAAUUGCUGGAUGUAGACUGUAAUAGAGCCUUUUGAAUUCUCUUGUGUUGAAACUGUGAAAUAAGCUGAUAUUCAGGUUGGUAUAUGACUCAAAGGAUCUAUGUAAUGAACCAUUUAGACUCAAGGUACUUGUAAAAAGUCAACUUUUUAAAAAAUAUAUAUUUAUCAAAAAAUAUAACAACCUUAUCCUACUGCAUUUAAGAGCAAUUCAAAUGCUAUUGCACCAUGCUGAUGUACUAUAGAUUUGCACAGAAUAAAGGAAAUGUUUCAC